AACGAACGCUGGCGGCAUGCCUAACACAUGCAAGUCGAACGAAGGCUUCGGCCUUAGUGGCGCACGGGUGCGUAACGCGUGGGAAUCUGCCCUUUGGUUCGGAAUAACAGCUGGAAACGGCUGCUAAUACCGGAUGAUGACGAAAGUCCAAAGAUUUAUCGCCAGAGGAUGAGCCCGCGUUGGAUUAGGUAGUUGGUGGGGUAAAGGCCUACCAAGCCGACGAUCCAUAGCUGGUCUGAGAGGAUGAUCAGCCACACUGGGACUGAGACACGGCCCAGACUCCUACGGGAGGCAGCAGUGGGGAAUAUUGGACAAUGGGCGCAAGCCUGAUCCAGCAAUGCCGCGUGAGUGGUGAAGGCCCUAGGGUUGUAAAGCUCUUUUACCCGGGAAGAUAAUGACUGUACCGGGAGAAUAAGCCCCGGCUAACUCCGUG
Molecule: ribosomal RNA, 433 nt
Filed under: uncultured bacterium
Lineage: Bacteria
Description: partial 16S ribosomal RNA
Rfam family: Bacterial small subunit ribosomal RNA
Source: RNAcentral